Molecule: ribosomal RNA, 492 nt
Filed under: uncultured bacterium
Lineage: Bacteria
Description: partial 16S ribosomal RNA
Rfam family: Bacterial small subunit ribosomal RNA
Source: RNAcentral
AGUGAACGCUGGCGGUAGGCCUAACACAUGCAAGUCGAACGGCAGCACAGUAAGAGCUUGCUCUUACGGGUGGCGAGUGGCGGGCGGGUGAGGAAUACAUCGGAAUCUACUUUUUCGUGGGGGAUAACGUAGGGAAACUUACGCUAAUACCGCAUACGACCUACGGGUGAAAGCAGGGGAUCUUCGGACCUUGCGCGAUUGAAUGAGCCGAUGUCGGAUUAGCUAGUUGGCGGGGUAAAGGCCCACCAAGGCGACGAUCCGUAGCUGGUCUGAGAGGAUGAUCAGCCACACUGGAACUGAGACACGGUCCAGACUCCUACGGGAGGCAGCAGUGGGGAAUAUUGGACAAUGGGCGCAAGCCUGAUCCAGCCAGACCGAGUGGGUGAAGAAGGCCUUCGGGUUGUAAAGCCCUUUUGUUGGGAAAGAAAAGCAGCAGGUUAAUACCCCGCUGUUCUGACGGUACCCAAAGAAUAAGCACCGGCUAACUUCGUG